UCCCGCUCCCCGGACGAGUCCUCAACAAGUUGGAGGGAGGCAGGAGCGCAGGGGUUAAGCUCGGGGAUCUGCAAUUACCAAGAUCGUGACCCUCCCACACAGUACAGUAACUUAUAUACUUACCUGGAAGCGCCCGCUUUGCCGUUGGGCAGACACCCAUGGGGGAGGGGAGGGGCACGAGGGAAGCGAGUUUACCAGAGAGGGCCGCUUCCAGACGGCUGAAGCACAAACCGAACCAUUGCACUCCCAAGACUCCCGGACUCAGGUGGUCAAGCCUGUCCUGAUACUGAUGGCGGUGCAUGAAGGGUGACCACCCAAGGGAGGCAGUCUCGGAGGUUACGGAUGCUGAAAAGCCUGACAGGGAUCUCAAGAGUCCCAGGAACUUAAUUUCUUACAUGGAAAGCAAGUUUGGGAAUUCGGUGGUUCUGCCAGUUCAAGCAACUGAAGGAAUCGUUUGCAGCUGGUGCUGGACUCAAGUCCCGCUAUCUAGCUCAAGCUGUCCUCGAACUUUGGAUUGCUGGUGGCCAUGGCCGAGGAGCAGCAGGUGUCAUUGAAGUUCAAGGUGCCAGCUCACCAGGAGGCAACUCCCUGGAGGGUGAAUCUCGGACAGCAAGUCCCUGAGACCACAGACCCCAGAGUGUCUUUCACGUCUACUGUACCUUUACAUGUUUGCUACCGCCAUCUUUCUCUGGUAUCUGCUAUGGUGUGAAUGGGUGUGGGGAGAUUCCCACUGCCUGUAAUAUAGUGUGCUUAUCUCAUGGAAAAAUUCCAUUCUGCUGGGCAUUCUUGCCUGUGGAUUAUUUUGAAGAUAAUUCCUUCCUCAGCUGUACUGUCUGAUUGAUAAUAAUAAGUUUGAAGUUAAGAGUGUUGAUGGUUCAAGAAAUAAACAAGGACAUGUCACACACUAGAAUACAUGAGUUUCUAUUGAGGAGCUGUAUAGACUGUGGCUUAGGUUAACGAUUAAGAAAAACAAUUGAGUCCUGGUAGACCAGCUAGCUUAAAUUCUUUUAACCUUAAUGUUGGGAGAUGUGUUCACAGGUUUUGGAGUGCUGAAACAAAGAUUUGAAAAUAAGAUUAUACUAGAUGUUCUUGUCAAAUAACUUCGAGGUGAAAAACUCAAGAAGACAAUCUAAAGUUUUAGAAAGACACAAGAGCCGGGCGGUGGUGGCGCACGCCUUUAAUCCCAGCACUCAGGAGGCAGAGGCAGGCGGAUCUCUGUGAGUUCGAGACCAGCCUGGUCUACAAGAGCUAGUUCCAGGACAGGCUCCAAAACCACAGAGAAACCCUGUCUCGAAAAAAACCAAAAAAAAAAAAAAAAAAAAAGACACAAGAGUUGAAUGCAGAAUGCGUUAAGGCCAGGGAGCAAGAACAAAGCAGCCAAUUAUCAUUAUUUGACAUGCUUUUCUUGCUAGGAUUGGUUGAUGACCAGAAAUGAUGAUUAAUUUUUUGUACCCAUUUUUGCUCUUAAUCUCCUGAUAGAAAAAACUAAUGAUGCAUGGGUAUGCACUCUUAAGAUUUAAAGUAGAGCUGACUGAUUCUUUUUAUAUAUAAAAGUUUAGGUUUGUGAUUCCUUUAAGAUUCUUUGCCGGGUGGUGGUGGCACACGCCUUUAAUCCCAGCACUCGGGAGGCAGAGGCAGGCGGAUCUCUGAGAGUUCGAGGCCAGUCUGGUCUACAAGAGCUAGUUCCGGGACAGGCACUAAAGCUACAGAGAAACCUUGUCUCGAAAAACAAAAAAAAAACAAAACAAAAACAAAACAAAACAAAAAAAGAUUCUUUAUAAUACUACCUUUAAAGGAAAGCAAUAAAGGAAUAGGUCCUUUCUUUGUAACUACAAAAUGCAGCCUGCCAGUAAAAGACCUGACUGAGAAGAAUACCUUGUUGCCCACAAAGUUAACUUGUAACUGUGAAUGGGUGUGCUUGGGUAUGAAUGUACAUGGGCUCUUGGGGUAAUUUGUUUUUCACCUGUAAUACAUAAAAUGUUUAAUAAUGUAAGGGAUAUGGAAAACAUGUUGUUUUUUUACUGUUUGUUUUGUAUUCAUUGUAAUCAUUUACAGAAUGUAACCACAUUGGAAUUCCUAUAUUGCCUGAAAAACUUUGUUAGGAUAUAUAAGCUGUAGAAAAAAAUAUACAAUAGAAAGAACACAGAAGCCAGGACAGGCUCCAAAACCACAGAGAAACCCUGUCUCGAAAAACAAAAAACAAAAACCAAAAAAAAAAAAAAAAGAAAAGAAAGAGGCUGGAGAGAUGGCUCAGUGAUUAAGAGCAUUGCCUGCUCUUCCAAAGGUCCUGAGUUCAAUUCCCGGCAACCACAUGGUGGCUCACAACCAUCUGUAAUGAGGUCUGGUGCCCUCUUCUGGCCUGCAGACAUACACACAGACAGAAUAUUGUACACAUAAUAAAUAAAUAAAUAAAAAAAAAAGAAAGAAAGAAAGAAAGAAAGAACACAGAAGAAUAAGGAAUAAAGAAGGAAACCAUCAAGAAAGAAUGUGAGUGUCUUUUUCCCUAACCCCCUCAGAUAAAAAAAGUCUUAGUAUGUGCUUUGAGGAUUGCCUUUGAGGCCUGUGCUCCUGGGAGCUGGCAGCCCAGGUGCAACACUGUUGCAACCUCCCAAUGAUGGGCAAACAUUACUGUGCUAUUUUAUAACUACUUUGUAUUUUGUGUAGUCUUUUUGUAUACAUCAAAUAUAUUUACCAAGAAAAUAAAGAUAAAGAAAAAAGCAAUAGAAAUCAAAUUAACACGAUUCUUUGGGAGAGGAAAAUCCCUGAAUAAUAUUAGUAAAUGCUGAGUUCAUUACAAACAUAAGCAUACAGAUAAAGAAAAUGCUGAAGGCAUUCCUCUGUAUUCUUUCCUUUGUGUUUGCUUGUGGAACUGUCCUAAUAUUUGCAGGUUUCUGUCUGGUAGCAAGACAUUGAUAAAACAUCCCAAUUAGCUUUCCCUUUACCUAGUUGGAGCUGACUUAACUAUGGCUCUGAUUGUUUUUUAAAGGUGAAAGUACCCUGGAUAAGAUAACUGGAUUGAUUACUCGGUCAGGGGAUACAAUGAACUAAAGCAGUUACUGGGGCAAGGCUAAUGUGUCAGCUACCAACCCCUGAAGGUACAAAAUGGCUUGGCACACUUUCCUGGUGUUUAUAAGUCUGUGUGAGCCUUUGAAUUGAAAAUGUAAGGGAGCUACUAAAGCUGUACUUUUACUUAUUGAUUGCUCUCAUUCGUGUUGGGUGUGCAUGUGUGUCCUGUGGCAUGUUUGUGUAGGUAGGAGGGCUGCCUGAGGGAGUUGGUUCUCUCUACCAUGUGGGCCCCAGGGAUCUAAGCCGGGUCAUCAGGCCUGGUGCCAAGCACAUUCCUCCUCUGAGCCAUCUCACUAGACUUAAAGCUGUAUACUUAAAUCUGUUUCAAACUGGCCAAUCUCAGUUUCUAUUUUUUUAAAGAAAUUUUUAUUUAUUUUAUUUUUAUUUCAUGUGCAUUGGUGUUUUGCCUGCAGGUAUGUCUGAGGAUGUCAGAUCCCUUGGAACUAGAGUUACACACAGUUGUGAGGUGCCUUAUGGAUGCUAGGAACUGAACCUGGGUCCUCUGGAAGAGAAGUCAGUGCUCUUAACCCUGAUGUCACCUCCCCAGCCCACGUCUCAGUUUUAUUUGAAAACUGUGUUUGUGGAAGCGACCAUGAGUGUGAGCUCAAGUGCUGUGUGUGUAGAAAUGGAGUUUUUAAGUGCAGAACAACUUGUUGGCAGGGCGACCUGGUUGUGACUUCCAUCACCCACUGAGUGCCAGGGUAGAUUCGCUUGAUCUAGCUGGCCAGGCUAAUGUCCUCUUCUCCUUCUUUGCUUUUGGAAGAAGCUGAGUUUCCCUGAUAAAGGAGGUCAGAGGUAUGUGAACAGCUGCCCAUCCCGGCUGGACUCAUGAUGGCCUGUUUCUAGAGCUAGGACCAUGGCACUUAGGGGUUCUUGCAGUAGAAGGUCUACUGAAAAGCUGCUUUCUUUGGAAGAAGAGUGAGGCUAUUGUGUUUGGAUGCAGUUAUGCACAGGAAAAUGCUUAACAUGAAAACCCAAUAUUCUUUUAUUAUGGUAAUGUUAUCACUUAAGGAAAUCAAAUAGUAACUUCUAAUUAGUUUCUAAUGCUAAAGAUUCUAUUUAUUUUAAAUUAGUUUGUUAUUCAUAGAACAUUUUUUUCCUACCCAGGAUUUGACAGCUGGAUGUAGAAUGGAAUCAAAGCUCAAUGUGUCCAGCUGGGGUUGUAGCUCAGUUGACAGAGCACUUGCCUAGGAGGUGCAAAGUGUGCUUCCCAGCAUGGAGGAAAUGGCUCUGUUGUGUACACCUACAAUUCAAGCACUUGGAACCGGAGGGAGGAGGGAACCAGAAGCUCAAGUGCAGGGAGUUUGGGGCCAACCUGGGCUACAUGAGAGCAUGCCAAAAAACAAAACAAAGCAAGCAUAAUGUGUUGAACAAUGAUGAAAUGAAGAGGUUAGGAAGGGUCUGGCACUUGUCUCAAAGGUUUAGCUAUGAUGUUAUUCUUAAAAACUUCUGACACCUAUGACAUUACCUAGUUAUGAAAUUUUCUUUUAUACAAUGAACUGUUCCCAAUUUGCUGUGAAGACUGGAUGUGAGUUUGUAGAUAUUUGUAUCAAAAUGUAGAAAAACUGCCAAUGAACUUCAAUGGAAAUCUGUGUGUAUGACUACAAUACAAUGUUGUUAAAUCAUAUUUUUUACAUUAAAGAUUAUUCUCAACUUGAAAUCUUUUAAAUAAAUUAUUCUGAAGACCAA
Molecule: long non-coding RNA, 4755 nt
Organism: Chionomys nivalis (European snow vole)
Lineage: Eukaryota; Metazoa; Chordata; Mammalia; Rodentia; Cricetidae
Exons: 4
Source: RefSeq, a predicted model, not a curated record